Molecule: ribosomal RNA, 981 nt
Filed under: Triticum aestivum (bread wheat)
Lineage: Eukaryota; Viridiplantae; Streptophyta; Magnoliopsida; Poales; Poaceae
Description: partial small subunit ribosomal RNA
Source: RNAcentral
AUGAAAGGUAAGAAUCUGGGGGUUCAAGCCUUGCUUUUGAAUAUAAAUCCUAGAGCUUUUUAUUCUGCAUGUGGGUGUCAUAGCCUUAAUUUAACACUAUGUGAUAUGGCCAAGACUUGUGGUAAAGCUAAGGACUUCUUUGGAAUCAUACAACGUAUCUACACAACAUUUGCUAAUUCCACUAAGAAAUGGAAGAUUUUGAAAGGUAAUAUAGGAGAAGGAUUGACUCUGAAAUCAGUCUCAUCUACUCGUUGGGAGAGUCGCAUAAAUAGUGUCAAAGCUAUUAGGUUUCAGAUUUCAGACAUACGAGAAGCUCUACUGCAAGUAGCUGAUGUCGAUAAAGAUCCUAAAACUAGUAGUGAAGCUAAAUCUCUAGCAAAUAAUGAACUUGGUGAUUUCGAAUUUGUAGUAGCGAUAAUCAUUUGGUAUGAUAUAUUGGCUGCAGUAAAUUUGAUUAGCAAGGACUUACAGUCAAAAGAUAUGCUUAUUGAUGUUGCCAUUGAAAAAGUGCAAGGCUUGAUUACCUUUUUUAAAGGUUACAGAGACACUCGUUUCACUACUGCAGUAGAAAUAGCAAGGGAAAUAGCACUCGAAAUAGAUAUCGACCCUGCAUUUCGGAAAAAGCGUGAAAUUAAAAGAAAAAAACAAUUUGAUGAGAAUCCUGAUGAUGUGUUAGAUGCUUCACAAUCUGCACAAGAGUCGUUUAGGAUAAAGUACUUCUUACCUGUUGUUGAUCAAGCUAUUGCUUCACUUACUACGAGAUUUGAGCAAUAUAAAUCAUACGAAAAAACUUUUGGUUCCUUGUUUACUUCUCAUGCACUAAACUCAUUGGAUGAUAAAAAUUUGAGGUCUUCUUGCAGUAGCCUUGAGACUGCACUUAGAAGUGGUGACAAAUCUAACAUUGAUGGUAAUGAUUUAUAUGUUGAGUUAAAGUUACUCCAAGAUUUCAUUCCAAAGGAAAAAAAAUAUGGGACCUAUUGA